Long non-coding RNA from Lactuca sativa (garden lettuce), 832 nucleotides. RefSeq lists it as uncharacterized. NCBI's taxonomy places the organism in Eukaryota, Viridiplantae, Streptophyta, Magnoliopsida, Asterales, Asteraceae. The record is from RefSeq and is a predicted model, not a curated record.
AAACAUACCCAAUUUUCCCUUCUUUAGAGUGUCUCAUCUUCUUGUUUAGGCGUAAGGUUUUGGCAGCUCCUUCACUACUCUUCCUUCCAUAAUUCCAGCUUUCACAUUCUUUGCUUCACAAUUCAUCUUCCAAUCCGAAGUCCAUUCACUUCGACCUGGGUCUUCACCCAAUCGAUGUCAUCUUCCGAAGCCGAGAUCCGUUCUUGUGGUUGUUGUCUACUAGCGAAAAUUAAGUCAAAGUCUCCCUUAAUUUCGAUAAGAGGAGGCCACAACUACGACCACAAUCAUUCGAAGAUGACCUUCAGGAAGAAGCAAAGGCGUACAGGAGUAACAAAGAUGAAGGGAAAAUACGUGAAAGAAAAAAAAAGGAUCGAGUCGGCUUCUUUUUGUUGGAGGACCGAAUCAGCAUAAAAUUAGGGACCGAGUCCCUGAGUUGGACCGAGUCCAAGGAUGCUAAAGACAAAACAAACAAGCUAAUUGGGGAUUAAGUAUCGGGUCCUAAUUUUGUACCCAAUUAGAAGACUUAUCAAACAGGCCCUUAUUCUUUUUUAUGUGAUUUAAAGACCUAACAAAAUUUCUAACUAAAUCAAUGAGAUAUUAAUUAACUAUUGACAUAUUAUUUUGAUAUUUGUAAUUUUCUUUUUAUGACUAAUAAUAGUGAUUUUGAAUCUUACCAAUUGAAGAUGAACGGAAAUAGCGGGCUGGAGAAGAUCGUCGUACGUAUAUGGAUUUCCGAGUUGAUGUAUGAUUUUAUUUUGAAAAAAAAAACUGGUAUUUAGGUUAAGGAUUAUUAUUUACGUAAAAAUAUAUAAGAUCUUAUAUUAUUAGCUCC